Molecule: transfer RNA, 68 nt
Filed under: Malcus setosus
Lineage: Eukaryota; Metazoa; Arthropoda; Insecta; Hemiptera; Malcidae
Description: tRNA-Asn
Source: RNAcentral
UUAAUUGAAGCCAAAAUAUUAAGAGGCACCUCAUUGUUAAUGAGAAUAAUGGUUAAUACCCAAUUAAA